UUUCGUGAGUUUUCAUGGUCAAAAUGAGAGAUCAGGUGGCCGAUCUUAAAAUAAAUCAAUAUUGAUUUUUUUUAUAGAGCGUUAAAGUUUUGCGAAGCCAGGGGGCGGGACUACUUGAUUGACAGUCCGGUCUGGAAUGAUUGACAGGUCCUAUGGUGGAGGCAGCAGAGACUCUGCUCUCCUCGUUUGGAUUAAUUCUGAUAUAAUAACUGUUGGUUUAUUUAUCGGUGGAGCAGCACAACAUUUUCCACAGACAGUUUUCCUGCCCGUUGGCUUGUUUUAACCAGUUUUCUACCUUCGGCUGAUUCUACCAGCAGACACUGAAAGGACUCUGAUAGUUCGAGUGAAAGUAGCAGUUCCUCCUUAAGGUCAGAGAUUGCAGCAUCUGAGGGCCUCUUCAAAAGAAGACGUAGUUGAUGAAGGCGUUCUGGAGCAGGACCAGAAAGACCACGACCAAGCAGCCUUGAGAUCUUAGGCAGCAUCUCCCUCAGGUCCCUCUCUAUCUCCCCACACAUCCACCAACCACUGGAACACAUCUCCAAAGUUCUGCCGGGCCAGCUCAGCUUCCCCUCAGAAGAAGUGCCGCCACCUGCCAGAUGAAGGAGCCUUUUGAGAGGCAGCUGGCAUCGUGAUUGGACUGUACUUUGGUCUGUUCCAAUCCAGCUUCAGCUCCAGAGACGGCAGGCGGGACGAGUCAACGGAGGCCGGGUGGACGAAGGCAUGCAGCUGAGUACAAUCCAGAAAACAACAGAGGAGGAGUGCAGUGGCCCAGGGCCAGAACAAACAGAGUAGCAUCGUAUGUCUCUUAGAAAACAUCAUAGUAUAGCCUUUGGUAUGAAAAGACACCAUCAUAUACAUCGUAUAUUGUACAAAUAACAAGUCAAAGGAAAGAGACAUACAUUCUAGAAUUGUAGUAAUUCUGGGCUGACUGAUUUAC
Molecule: long non-coding RNA, 937 nt
Organism: Amphiprion ocellaris (clown anemonefish)
Lineage: Eukaryota; Metazoa; Chordata; Actinopteri; Pomacentridae
Exons: 3
Source: RefSeq, a predicted model, not a curated record